GAACAUUUUAAAGCAAAUUUGAUUAAGGUUGAAUGCACAAUAAAUAAUUUUUUAUUUUUAUAAUCAUCGUUGUUAUGGUUUGGAGUGCAUAGUCACCACAUGGACGCCAAUCCAAAGUGUCUCUUUUAGAAACCAUAUCACGAGAGUAAGCAACAGAAGAUGAGGAUGGUCGGCAAAUACCAUAAGCUGUCAUCUGUUCAAAUUUUGACUUGUAACAAUGUGUAACAUAAUUAUACAACAUACAGUAUGUUUAACAGAUGCAGUCAACGCAAUAUUUAUGCUAGGUGGAAGUGGCUUUUUCCAUAAUUUUAAAAGAAGAUCUUGACUGGCCAUCUGAAUGCUUCCAAGAAUUGUUGACAUUCCUCUAUAAAGAUCGGGAGGUUCUUGGUCACCCAUAGCGGUACCAGAAAGUAAUGCAUCGAGUCGCUUCUCUUCACUGCUUGAUAGAUGAGUAAUUAGAAUAUUUUUAUCUAGUUCAGGAGGAUUAAAGAUAAAUAUCGUGUACAGUUGAAACAACCUCAAGAGGAAGAUUCGAAACAACAAGAUGGUAUUUCAUCUUAUCUGACGUACUUAGGGUGCUACGCACCAUCUUUGACGGAGUAAGCGAAAACGGACUAGAAGACGAUAUAACUUCAAAUUAUAUCAGGCAUACAACGACAACGACGUGGUUAUGUUAUCAAAAUCAAUUGAGAUGGGUUUGUCAUGUGAUGAGAAUGGAGGAGCCAUGUUGUAGAGAGACAGGAAAGACUGGAAGGAUAUUGUGAGGCAGGCCAGGGUUGUAGGGCCAGAGAAGAAGAAGAUUUGUGGCAUAGUUUGAAUUGCAUCGUAAUAUUUUAAAAGAUUUAUUCCAAUCAUAAAAAUAAUCUAGGAGUGUAGUAUUUAAAGAUUAUGAUAAAAAUAAAUUCAUUAUGUCAAUAUAUAGAGAUAACAUACAUAAAAUGGGUCAUUUUUCGAAUUAAAAAUCGGGGAGAAAUA
This is a non-coding RNA of Onthophagus taurus, 975 nucleotides long. NCBI's taxonomy places the organism in Eukaryota, Metazoa, Arthropoda, Insecta, Coleoptera, Scarabaeidae. The record is from RefSeq and is a predicted model, not a curated record.